GAUGACUCAAUGAACCCUUGGGCAACCCAAAGAUGAAUCAAUGUUUUCACAUCAAUUUUAUAACCUUUGGGAAACAAUGCACAAUAUGCAAAACAGUGUUUCAAAGGUGAUGAGAGAUGAUCAUAACUCAACUUGAGUGUUGGUAAAAUAUCAUUCUCAUUUUGAGCUACCUUUGAGAGUUCAUUUUCUAAGAAAGUUCCCCAUUCAUUUUCUGAAUAUUUAUAGCAUAAAAGACUUGCAAUUGUCU
This 247-nucleotide unclassified non-coding RNA is filed under the name Hevea brasiliensis (rubber tree). Lineage: Eukaryota; Viridiplantae; Streptophyta; Magnoliopsida; Malpighiales; Euphorbiaceae. The record is from RNAcentral.